GACGAACGCUGACGGCAUGCUUAACACAUGCAAGUCGAAGGGAGUGGCGAACGGGUGAGUAACACGUGAGUAACCUGCCCUUUUCUUUGUGAUCAGCCUGGGAAAUUGGUUCUAAUACUUGAUGGAUUGCGAUGGGCUCGCGGCUUAUCAGCUUGUUGGUGGGGUGAGGGCGUACCAAGGCUUUGACGGGUAGCCGGCCUGAGAGGGUGGUAGGUCACACUGGGACUGAGAUACGGCCCAGACUCCUACGGGAGGCAGCAGUGGGGGAUAUUGACCGAUGGACGAAAGCCUGACGGAGCAACGCGGCGUGUGGGAUGAAGGUCUUCGGAUUGUAAAACUCUGUUAUUAGGGAAGCGGUACCGAAUCAGGAAGCCACGGCUAACUACGUGCCAGCAGCCGCGGUAAUAC
This 408-nucleotide ribosomal RNA is filed under the name uncultured bacterium. RNAcentral's name for it is "partial 16S ribosomal RNA". It matches the Rfam family "Bacterial small subunit ribosomal RNA", at positions 28 to 526 of the family's 1533-position model. The record is from RNAcentral.